RNAcentral lists this transfer RNA (82 nucleotides) under Oryctolagus cuniculus (rabbit). It matches the Rfam family "tRNA". From Rfam's summary of the family: Transfer RNA (tRNA) molecules are approximately 80 nucleotides in length. Their secondary structure includes four short double-helical elements and three loops (D, anti-codon, and T loops). The record is from Rfam by way of RNAcentral. Lineage: Eukaryota; Metazoa; Chordata; Mammalia; Lagomorpha; Leporidae.
GGUGCUGUGGCUUAGCAGGUAAAGCUGCCUCUAGUGGCACUGGCAUCCCAUGUGGGCUCUGGUUCGAGUCCUGGCUGCUCCA